Molecule: ribosomal RNA, 684 nt
Filed under: uncultured bacterium
Lineage: Bacteria
Description: bacterial SSU rRNA
Rfam family: Bacterial small subunit ribosomal RNA
Source: RNAcentral
GUGGCGCACGGGUGAGUAACACGUAGGUAAUUUGCCUUCGGGUGGGGAAUAACUCAGGGAAACUUGAGCUAAUACCGCAUAAUGCAGCGGCUCGACAUCGAGACAGUUGUUAAAGCGGGGGAUCGCAAGACCUCGCGCCUGAAGAGAAGCCUGCGGCAGAUUAGCUAGUUGGUAGGGUAAUGGCCUACCAAGGCGACGAUCUGUAACCGGCCUGAGAGGGCGGUCGGUCACACUGACACUGACAUACGGGUCAGACUCCUACGGGAGGCAGCAGUCGGGAAUUUUGGGCAAUGGGCGAAAGCCUGACCCAGCAACGCCGCGUGAAGGAUGAAAUCCCUCGGGAUGUAAACUUCGCAAGAAUGGGAAGAAUAAGUGGGGGACAAUACCCCCCAUGAUGACGGUACCAUUUGUAAGCUCCGGCUAACUCCGUGCCAGCAGCCGCGGUAAUACGGGGGGAGCAAGCGUUGUUCGGAUUUACUGGGCGUAAAGGGCGCGUAGGCGGUCGUGACAAGUCACUUGUGAAAUCUCCGGGCUUAACUCGGAACGGUCAAGUGAUACUGUCGGACUAGAGUACAGAAGGGGCAACUGGAAUUCUCGGUGUAGCGGUGAAAUGCGUAGAUAUCGAGAGGAACACCUGCGGCGAAGGCGGGUUGCUGGGCUGAUACUGACGCUGAGGCGCGAAAG